RNAcentral lists this ribosomal RNA (460 nucleotides) under uncultured bacterium. RNAcentral's name for it is "partial 16S ribosomal RNA". It matches the Rfam family "Bacterial small subunit ribosomal RNA", at positions 338 to 795 of the family's 1533-position model. The record is from RNAcentral.
CCUACGGGAGGCAGCAGUGAGGAAUAUUGGUCAAUGGACGAGAGUCUGAACCAGCCAAGUCGCGUGAAGGAUGACUGCCCUAUGGGUUGUAAACUUCUUUUAUAUGGGAAUAAAAUGUUCCACGUGUGGGAUUUUGUAUGUACCAUAUGAAUAAGGAUCGGCUAACUCCGUGCCAGCAGCCGCGGUAAUACGGAGGAUCCGAGCGUUAUCCGGAUUUAUUGGGUUUAAAGGGAGCGUAGGUGGGCUUUUAAGUCAGUUGUGAAAGUUUGCGGCUCAACCGUAAAAUUGCCGUUGAAACUGGCAGGCUUGAGUACAGUAGAGGUAGGCGGAAUACGUGGUGUAGCGGUGAAAUGCUUAGAUAUCACGAAGAACACCGAUAGCGAAGGCAGCUUACUAAACUGUGACUGACAUUGAUGCACGAAAGCGUGGGUAUCAAACAGGAUUAGAUACCCUGGUAGUC